RNAcentral lists this ribosomal RNA (508 nucleotides) under uncultured bacterium. Its description in RNAcentral is "partial 16S ribosomal RNA". It matches the Rfam family "Bacterial small subunit ribosomal RNA", at positions 28 to 507 of the family's 1533-position model. The record is from RNAcentral.
GACGAACGCUGGCGGCGUGCCUAAUACAUGCAAGUCGAACGCUUCUUUCCUCCCGAGUGCUUGCACUCAAUUGGAAAGAGGAGUGGCGGACGGGUGAGUAACACGUGGGUAACCUACCCAUCAGAGGGGGAUAACACUUGGAAACAGGUGCUAAUACCGCAUAACAGUUUAUGCCGCAUGGCAUAAGAGUGAAAGGCGCUUUCGGGUGUCGUUGAUGGAUGGACCCGCGGUGCAUUAGCUAGUUGGUGAGGUAACGGCUCACCAAGGCCACGAUGCAUAGCCGACCUGAGAGGGUGAUCGGCCACACUGGGACUGAGACACGGCCCAGACUCCUACGGGAGGCAGCAGUAGGGAAUCUUCGGCAAUGGACGAAAGUCUGACUGAGCAACGCCGCGUGAGUGAAGAAGGUUUUCGGAUCGUAAAACUCUGUUGUUAGAGAAGAACAAGGACGUUAGUAACUGAACGUCCCCUGACGGUAUCUAACCAGAAAGCCACGGCUAACUACGUG